Long non-coding RNA from Dreissena polymorpha, 5534 nucleotides. RefSeq lists it as uncharacterized. Lineage: Eukaryota; Metazoa; Mollusca; Bivalvia; Myida; Dreissenidae. The transcript is spliced from 6 exons. The record is from RefSeq and is a predicted model, not a curated record.
AGUUGUGAACAUCCAGAGCACGAUACAUCCAUGCAGACACAGAAAGGAAGUAAUGACUUGGUUGUGAACAUCGAGAGCAAGAUAUAUCAAUGCUGAAACAGAAAGGCAGAAAUGACUAUGCUGUGAACACUCAGAGCAAGAUAUAUCCAUGCUGACACAGAAAGGCAAUAAUGACUGUGUUGUGAACAACCAGAGCACAAUACAUCCAUGCUGACACAGAAAGGCAGUAAUGACUUGGUUGUGAACAACCAGAGCACAAUACAUCAAUGCUGACACAGAAAGGCAGUAAUGACUUGGUUGUGAACACAGAACACGAUACACCCAUGCUGACACAGAAAGGCAGUAAUUACUUGGCUGUGAACACCGAGCACAAUACAUCCAUGCGGAAACAGAAAGGCAGUCAUGACUAUGCUGUGAACACCCGGAGCAAGAUAUAUCCAUGCUGACGCAGAAAGGCAGUAAUGAAUAUGCAGUGAACACCCAGAGCAAGAUAUAUCCAUGCUGACACAGAAAGGCAGUAAUGACUAUGCUGUGAACACCCAGAGCAAGAUAUAUCCAUGCUGACACAGAAAGGCAGAAAUGACUAUGCAGUGAACACCCAUAGAAAGAUAUAUCCAUGCUGACACAGAAAGGCAGAAAUGACUAUGCAGUGAACACCUACAGCAAGAUAUAUCCAUGCUGACACAGAAAGGCAGUAAUGACUAUGCAGUGAACACCCAGAGCAAGAUAUAUCCAUGCUGACACAGAAAGUCAGAAAUGACUAUACUGUGAUCACCCAGAGCACAAUACAUCCAUGCUGACACAGAAAGGCAGUAAUGACUUGGUUGUGAACACCCAGAGCAAGAUAUACCCAUGCUGACACAGAAAGGCAGUAAUGACUUGGCUGUGAACACAGAACACGAUACACCCAUGCUGACAAAGAAAGACAGUAAUGACUUGGCUGUGAACACAGAACACGAUACACCCAUGCUGACACAGAAAGGCAGUAAUGACUUGGCUAUGAACACAGAGCACAAUACAUCCAUGCUGACACAGAAAGGCAGUAUUGACUUGGCUGUAAACACAGAGCAUCAUACAUCCAUGCUACCACAGAAAGGCAGUAAUGACUUGGCUGUGAACACAGAGCACAAUACAUCCAUGCAGAAACAGUAAGGCAGUCAUGACUAUGCUGUGAAAACCCAGAGCACGAUAUAUCCAUGCUGACACAGAAAGGCAGUAAUGACUAUGCUGUGAACACCAAGAGCAAGAUAUAUCCAUGCUGUCACAGAAAGGCAGUAAUGACUAUGCUGUGAACACCCAAAGCAAGAUAUAUCCAUGCUGACACAGAAAGGCAGUAAUGACAAUGCUGUGAACACCCAGAGCACAAUACAUCCAUGCUGACACAGAAAGGCAGCAAUGACUUGGUUGUGAACACCCAGAGCACAAUACAUCCAUGCUGACACAGAAAGGCAGUAAUGACUUGGUUGUGAACACCCAGAGCAAGAUAUACCCAUGCUGACACAGAAAGGCAGUAAUGACUUGGCUGUGAACACAGAACACGAUACACCCAUGCUGACAAAGAAAGACAGUAAUGACUUGGCUGUGAACACAGAACACGAUACACCCAUGCUGACACAGAAAGGCAGUAAUGACUUGGCUAUGAACACAGAGCACAAUACAUCCAUGCUGACACAGAAAGGCAGUAUUGACUUGGCUGUAAACACAGAGCAUCAUACAUCCAUGCUACCACAGAAAGGCAGUAAUGACUUGGCUGUGAACACAGAGCACAAUACAUCCAUGCAGAAACAGUAAGGCAGUCAUGACUAUGCUGUGAAAACCCAGAGCACGAUAUAUCCAUGCUGACACAGAAAGGCAGUAAUGACUAUGCUGUGAACACCAAGAGCAAGAUAUAUCCAUGCUGUCACAGAAAGGCAGUAAUGACUAUGCUGUGAACACCCAAAGCAAGAUAUAUCCAUGCUGACACAGAAAGGCAGUAAUGACAAUGCUGUGAACACCCAGAGCACAAUACAUCCAUGCUGACACAGAAAGGCAGCAAUGACUUGGUUGUGAACACCCAGAGCAAGAUAUAUCCAUGCUGACACAGAAAAGAAGUAAUGACUUGGCCGGUACACAGAACACGAUACACCCAUGCUGACACAGAAAGGCAGUAAUGACUUGGCUGUGAACACAGAGCACCAUAUGUCCAUGCUGACACAGAAAGGCAGUACUGACUUGGCUGUGAACACAGAGCUUAAUACAUCCAUGCUGACACAAAAAGGCAGUUAUGACUUGACUGUGAACACAAAGCACAAAACAUCCAUGCUGACACAGAAAGUCAGUUAUGACAUGGUUGUGAACACAGAGCACAAUACAUCCUUGUUGACACAGAAAGGCAGUAACGACUAUGCUGUGAACUCAGAGCACGAUACAUCUAUGCUGACACAGAAAGGCAGUAAUGACUUGGAUGUAAACACCCAGAGUACAAUACAUACAUGCUAACACAGAAAGGCAGUAAAGACUUGGUUGUUAACACCCAGAGCACAAUACAUCCAUGGGACACAGAAAGGCAGUAAAGACUUUGUUGUAAACACUAAGAGAUCCAUACAUCCAUUGGAUGUGCCACAGACGCAAAUUACGUCCACUAUUGUAAACAAGGUGCUUUAAGUGAACACGUCUGGUUUUGUUAUGUGGACUUAGCACUCCAAUCCCAAAAGGCCUCGCAUUGAAUUGAUGCAAGAGAAGGCUUUGAAAAAUAACAGCAGUUUUGUUGUGUGGUCCAGGACGCCAUUGGACUCGCAACCUGAAGAAAGCAGAACUCAAACUCGUCUCUUAGCAAUAUCAGCAAGGCCAGCAUGUCAUCUCAGCUUCUAGAGCUUCAGUGAACUUAACUAGCAAACAUGACAAACGUCAUUGAAUUGAAAGGUGAUGACAACCCCCUUCUUGCACAAACACUACAACUUGCUUAAGAAAUUCAGCACGAAGAGGUCUUGCGUCAGACUACCAAGCCUCCUAUCAAUAUCUCCUCCCAUGUUGGCUACAUCAACACUUCCAACAGCAGAGCCUUGGUGAGUUUGACUUCCGUCUCAGCAUCAAUGUCGCUUAGCAACAAUUGGAUGAUGGGCGUCGACAAAUUAGGCCGGACAAGUCGCUCAAAUAAAGGAUCUGAUCCAACAAGUAGAGCAGGCGUUGCGUGACACGUCCGUUAAUGUGACUGACCUCAAUAUGUUGUUCUCGAAUAAUGUGAACCUCAGGCCUGGAGAGCAGCAUGCGAUUGACGCCAUUCAACAACAGUUGUUGUCGGCAGUUCUCGGGUUUGGGGUGGCAACUUUGGCAACUCGAUCCAUCUCUGUCUAUGGCCCAGUCGCAGCAGCAGCAACAAGAACAAUGAAGCCGGUUCCUACAGGAUCCCAUGCAGUCAUAGAUUGGUACCCAGCUGAACAACAGGCUGUCUGGUAAGCUGGGCCCGGAUAGGUGUAGCCAGUCUAAAGCUGGGGCUCCAAACUUUCCUGCCAAGUGGACUGAUAUUACCUCUUCUACAAGGGACAUAUGUCAGUGAUGCGCAAAGAGCUGGUUUUCUGUUCACAGAGAAAAAUCCUAACAACUCCAACUCAGCCACUACAUCUCAAUAGACAACCCGAAUAUCAAGGCGUUAAGCUUGUUCUGGAUGCAGUUACAGUCACAGCUUUCAAGCCAGCAGCUGUCGAUGUAUUGAGAUUUUCUCCUCUCCAUGUUACCUGACCUGCUGCCUGUGAACACCCUGCACAUAGAACCUUUAUCCCAAUCCAUGUAAUUAAACUGUCAAUCAAAAAAGAUAGCCUGGUACAGCACUUGUCAUUAGAUUGACGCCAUGCAUGCCUUUGAAGGUCAUUUGUACACACAGUAACAAUUUAAGCAUGAUAGUCAAUAAGUGCCUGCGUUGGCUUCUUAAAAGACUCGCAGACCUGAGCAUUUACGGUGGAAUUCCACAUCUUGAAAUAUUGGGAAGGCAGGAAAACACCUGACAAUAUUUAACUUAUUUAUUGUAUAAACAAGACAUGCUUAUUUUUAGUUUUUGCCUAUAAAAUAGCAAUAUGUGCUAGGUAACAUAAUUGAUCAAAACGGUUCAUAAUUGUGAUGCUUCUAUUUUGAUAUGUCUGUCAUUCUGUCUGUGAACAUUUCUCAUCAGUUUGCUCUUUUGAGGCAGUAUUUUGUCGAGAAUUUCAUGUAGUGAUGUAAUAGUAAAAUAUCAAAUAAUAAUUUGAUUUAUUCAAACUAUAUUAACCUUCUGUAAAUUAUCAAUUUAUUUAUUGACAACAUAUACUUUGUUUAAUAUUAACAAUAGUUAAGCGCGUUAUAAAAAUUGUGUGAAUGUACAUGCAUAAUAUUGCGAUAAUUGAUGCACACAUUAAUGAAACUAUUUAAAUAAAGUGGAAUUUAGAAGUGCAUCUUAAUUGUAAUGGAGUUUAUUUAAUUUUUUAAAAAAGGAUGCUUUCUUUGUUGAAAAGUAAUUCCUCCACAAGUAAUUUUGUUUCAAAGUGAGUAUUUUCAUGAAAAAUGAUUCAUAUUAAACAUCAUUUACAUAUCAGGCAAUCAGGCAAUAGAGAAAAAUAAUUGCUUUGGAUGAAUGAGCACAUUAACCUGUAUAGUAAAUUAAGACAUGCAGAAUAUCAGAUUAUUAACAUAAUAAUAUACUUUAAGCAUUAGAAACACCUUGUUUUAUGUCAAGCUUUUCAGUUAAUAUAACUAAGCAACUAUUAUCUGGAAAUUUGGAAAACAGUGAAGAACGAAUCAAGGGAGAGCAACUGUGAUAUACUGAAUAAAAGUCGUCUCCCUUGUUGAGUAUAAUUGUACCUCUCAACGUAACAACAACAUUGAAUCUUUUUUUUUAAUUUUUCCACACUAUAAACUUUAUACUAUAUUCAUUCAAUAAUCACUAAAGAAAUAUGGUUUGCAUAAUUGUUUAUUUCUAUGCGUUAUACAUAAUUCACAUAAUUCAGUAUGGCAUCAAUUUAAGUUCAUCAGAUUUUAAUUGCAAAAAUUGGCCAUACAGUGCUAAAAGUUUGGUAUUCUGACUAUUAUUAGUGCAUGUUCUCAUACAAUAUCACGUUGUUUAUUUUAACACAAAAGCAAUAUGUGUUAAUAUAUUAAUUUUUAUUUAUUGACUUGUUGUUGCUUGUUAAGGUGUCUAAUUUUGAAUUAUAGCUGUUAAUUGCUUUGCAUUAAACAUGUCUGCUUUGUUGUUGAACAAUUAUACACAGCUUUUUAUUUGACAAAAAUGUGUAAUAUUGCAAAUUUUUGCUUUCAAUUUUUUAUUUCCAACAAAAAUAUAUUUUGUUUAUUUGUAUGUAUAUUUAGCUAUAAUAAAAUUGUUUAUAUAAUAUAUAAACAACCUACUUAUAAGCAAUAAACUGUAUUGGUAAAAGUAGAUUUAAGGUUCAAAAUCAUGUCUUAAUUUGUUUGAUUAUCCCAAAUUAACAUUUUGCAAAACAAAAACUUUUUGAAUAAAGAACACUUAAUGCAACGUACCACCAGGUCUUUUAACCAUUGAUUGUGUAUCACUAACGAUCAGGGAUUAA